UACAGAGGGUGCGAGCGUUAAUCGGAAUUACUGGGCGUAAAGCGUGCGUAGACGGUUUCGUAAGUCGGGUGUGAAAGCCCCGGGCUCAACCUGGGAAUUGCAUUCGAGACUGCGUAGCUAGGGUGCGGAAGAGGGAAGCGGAAUUUCCGGUGUAGCGGUGAAAUGCGCAGAUAUCAGGAAGAACACCCGUGGCUAAGGCGGCUCUCUAGUACGGUACUGACGCUGAGACGCGAAAGCGUGGGGAGCGAACAGG
RNAcentral lists this ribosomal RNA (253 nucleotides) under uncultured bacterium. RNAcentral's name for it is "partial 16S ribosomal RNA". It matches the Rfam family "Bacterial small subunit ribosomal RNA", at positions 524 to 776 of the family's 1533-position model. The record is from RNAcentral.